This 267-nucleotide long non-coding RNA is filed under the name Danio rerio (zebrafish). Its description in RNAcentral is "lncRNA (ENSDARG00000117214.1)". Lineage: Eukaryota; Metazoa; Chordata; Actinopteri; Cypriniformes; Danionidae. The record is from RNAcentral.
UCCUCCUUCACUUCCUGCUUUCCCUUUCCAUUCUUUUGACAGUGCUGUCUUUGAUGCUGCAACACCACAUGGUUUCACAUGCCUCGGUUUCCCCAGAAGAGAAAGACAGACUGCUGUGAGAGACAGACACAGGAAGAGAGAGAAAGGAGGACACUGGAAGGGGAGAAGCAGAGACAAUGCCAAACUCAGUCUCACUAUAAACCAAAUCAGGCACUUGAUUGACAGCUUAUAACGACGCUCGUUUUGAGAUGACAGCUUGAAGAGGAG